Molecule: ribosomal RNA, 468 nt
Filed under: uncultured bacterium
Lineage: Bacteria
Description: partial 16S ribosomal RNA
Rfam family: Bacterial small subunit ribosomal RNA
Source: RNAcentral
GACGAACGCUGGCGGCGUGCUUAACACAUGCAAGUCGAACGGAAAGGCCCUGCUUUUGUGGGGUGCUCGAGUGGCGAACGGGUGAGUAACACGUGAGUAACCUGCCCUUGACUUUGGGAUAACUUCAGGAAACUGGGGCUAAUACCGGAUAGGAGCUCCUGCUGCAUGGUGGGGGUUGGAAAGUUUCGGCGGUUGGGGAUGGACUCGCGGCUUAUCAGCUUGUUGGUGGGGUAGUGGCUUACCAAGGCUUUGACGGGUAGCCGGCCUGAGAGAGUGACCGGCCACAUUGGGACUGAGAUACGGCCUAGACUCCUACGGGAGGCAGCAGUGGGGAAUAUUGCACAAUGGGCGGAAGCCUGAUGCAGCAACGCCGCGUGCGGGAUGACGGCCUUCGGGUUGUAAACCGCUUUCGCCUGUGACGAAGCGUGAGUGACGGUAAUGGGUAAAGAAGCACCGGCUAACUACGUG